GAAUGCUGACAUAAGUAACGAUAAAGCGGGUGAAAAGCCCGCUCGCCGGAAGACCAAGGGUUCCUGUCCAACGUUAAUCGGGGCAGGGUGAGUCGACCCCUAAGGCGAGGCCGAAAGGCGUAGUCGAUGGGAAACGGGUUAAUAUUCCCGUACUUGGUGUUACUGCGAAGGGGGGACGGAGAAGGCUAUGUUGGCCGGGCGACGGUUGUCCCGGUUUAAGCGUGUAGGUGUGUGUUCCAGGUAAAUCCGGUUCACUUUAACACUGAGGCGUGACGACGAGGCACUACGGUGCUGAAGCAACAAAUGCCCUGCUUCCAGGAAAAGCCUCUAAGCAUCAGGUAACACGAAAUCGUACCCCAAACCGACA
RNAcentral lists this ribosomal RNA (367 nucleotides) under Salmonella enterica subsp. enterica. RNAcentral's name for it is "partial 23S ribosomal RNA". It matches the Rfam family "Bacterial large subunit ribosomal RNA", at positions 1292 to 1659 of the family's 2925-position model. Lineage: Bacteria; Pseudomonadati; Pseudomonadota; Gammaproteobacteria; Enterobacterales; Enterobacteriaceae. The record is from RNAcentral.